UACGUAGGGGGCAAGCGUUGUCCGGAAUCAUUGGGCGUAAAGAGCGUGUAGGCGGCCCGGUAAGUCCGCUGUGAAAGUCCAGGGCUCAACCCUGGGAUGCCGGUGGAUACUGUCGGGCUCGAGUCCGGAAGAGGAGUGUGGAAUUCCUGGUGUAGCGGUGAAAUGCGCAGAUAUCGGAAGGAACGCCGGUGGCGAAAGCGCACGACUGGUCCUCUUCUGACGCUGAGGCGCGAAAGCCAGGGGAGCAAACGGG
This 253-nucleotide ribosomal RNA is filed under the name uncultured bacterium. RNAcentral's name for it is "partial 16S ribosomal RNA". It matches the Rfam family "Bacterial small subunit ribosomal RNA", at positions 524 to 776 of the family's 1533-position model. The record is from RNAcentral.